RNAcentral lists this ribosomal RNA (445 nucleotides) under uncultured bacterium. RNAcentral describes it as "partial 16S ribosomal RNA". It matches the Rfam family "Bacterial small subunit ribosomal RNA", at positions 354 to 796 of the family's 1533-position model. The record is from RNAcentral.
GUGGGGAAUAUUGGACAAUGGGCGGGAGCCUGAACCAGCCAAGUCGCGUGAAGGAAGAAGGAUCUAUGGUUCGUAAACUUCUUUUGCAGGGGAAUAAAGUGCAGGACGUGUCCUGUUUUGUAUGUACCCUGAGAAUAAGGAUCGGCUAACUCCGUGCCAGCAGCCGCGGUAAUACGGAGGAUCCGAGCGUUAUCCGGAUUUAUUGGGUUUAAAGGGUGCGUAGGUGGUUUGAUAAGUCAGCGGUGAAAGUUUGCAGCUUAACUGUAAAAAUGCCGUUGAAACUGUCGGACUUGAGUGUAAAUGAGGUAGGCGGAAUGCGUGGUGUAGCGGUGAAAUGCAUAGAUAUCACGCAGAACUCCGAUUGCGAAGGCAGCUUACUAAGCUACAACUGACACUGAAGCACGAAAGCGUGGGGAUCAAACAGGAUUAGAAACCCUAGUAGUCC